Molecule: long non-coding RNA, 779 nt
Filed under: Struthio camelus australis
Lineage: Eukaryota; Metazoa; Chordata; Aves; Struthioniformes; Struthionidae
Description: lncRNA (ENSSCUG00000005825.1)
Source: RNAcentral
CAGAAUUUCUUUUAAGAAAAACUUUCUCUGUCUUUUUUUUUUUUUAAGGGAAAACGUGUUGCAAUAAUACGCAGCAUACAGAACAACCACGCUCUCUCUGGUUACAGCUGAACGACACCACAGCAGCAGCAGAAUAUGUACAAAUUAAACUGUAACAGUGUACCAAGGAGAGGUAUGGUAAUAUCAUAAAAAUUAUCCACAGUACAAUAUGACUAAUGUUGUGUGAAAUGCAUUCACUGGCAAAAUGAUGUUUAGGUGUAUCUGAAGGAGUUAUGCUGAUGGAGUUAAUGGUUAUGGAACAUAGAUAACGGGAGGAAAGGCGACUGAAAGACGAAAGGUUGCAGCAAGGGCAGUGCGGCUGCUCGGCUGAGGAGGACUGUCCAGCAGGCGUAUUGGAAGAUUUGGAAAAACUUGUCCUGUGACCCAUCGUGGCAACUGCGAACUCCACAUUUUCCUUGUGGCUGGGCACCUUGACUGUGGCCCAGCUGUCUAUGGUCAGCACAGAAGGUGUGAUCGGGGUGAAACGCAUCUCAAGAGCAAGCUCUGGGGCAGAACCGGGACCUCCGCUGUCUGCUGCGACGCUGCGGGUGAGACGUUUCCUUCUCACCAGUGCACGUUUCCUGGCAGUGCUGGGCUGGCCUGGAAAUCUAGAGCUGCGCUCCUCGAGAGCAAGGUCAACUUGUGGACGUACCUGCUGCAAGAUAUUACCAGGACAAGCCAUGAAGCUGGAAGUUUAAAAUGGAUCAAGGUGAUUUUCUGAACAUCAGUAUGCAAGUAAG